RNAcentral lists this ribosomal RNA (730 nucleotides) under Bacillus subtilis. Its description in RNAcentral is "bacterial SSU rRNA". It matches the Rfam family "Bacterial small subunit ribosomal RNA", at positions 89 to 804 of the family's 1533-position model. The record is from RNAcentral. Lineage: Bacteria; Bacillati; Bacillota; Bacilli; Caryophanales; Bacillaceae.
AUGUUAGCGGCGGACGGGUGAGUAACACGUGGGUAACCUGCCUGUAAGACUGGGAUAACUCCGGGAAACCGGGGCUAAUACCGGAUGCUUGUUUGAACCGCAUGGUUCAAACAUAAAAGGUGGCUUCGGCUACCACUUACAGAUGGACCCGCGGCGCAUUAGCUAGUUGGUGAGGUAAUGGCUCACCAAGGCGACGAUGCGUAGCCGACCUGAGAGGGUGAUCGGCCACACUGGGACUGAGACACGGCCCAGACUCCUACGGGAGGCAGCAGUAGGGAAUCUUCCGCAAUGGACGAAAGUCUGACGGAGCAACGCCGCGUGAGUGAUGAAGGUUUUCGGAUCGUAAAGCUCUGUUGUUAGGGAAGAACAAGUACCGUUCGAAUAGGGCGGUACCUUGACGGUACCUAACCAGAAAGCCACGGCUAACUACGUGCCAGCAGCCGCGGUAAUACGUAGGUGGCAAGCGUUGUCCGGAAUUAUUGGGCGUAAAGGGCUCGCAGGCGGUUUCUUAAGUCUGAUGUGAAAGCCCCCGGCUCAACCGGGGAGGGUCAUUGGAAACUGGGGAACUUGAGUGCAGAAGAGGAGAGUGGAAUUCCACGUGUAGCGGUGAAAUGCGUAGAGAUGUGGAGGAACACCAGUGGCGAAGGCGACUCUCUGGUCUGUAACUGACGCUGAGGAGCGAAAGCGUGGGGAGCGAACAGGAUUAGAUACCCUGGUAGUCCACGCCGUA